UGCCAGACUCCUACGGGAGGCAGCAGUCGGGAAUAUUGCGCAAUGGAGGAAACUCUGACGCAGUGACGCCGCGUAUAGGACGAAGGUCUUCGGAUUGUAAACUAUUGUCGUUAGGGAAGAGAAAGGACAGUACCUAAGGAGGAAGCUCCGGCUAACUACGUGCCAGCAGCCGCGGUAAUACGUAGGGGGCAAGCGUUAUCCGGAUUUACUGGGUGUAAAGGGAGCGUAGACGGCCAGACAAGUCUGAAGUGAAAAUCCAGCGCUUAACGUUGGAAGUGCUUUGGAAACUGCCGGGCUGGAGUGCAGGAGGGGCAGGCGGAAUUCCUAGUGUAGCGGUGAAAUGCGUAGAUAUUAGGAGGAACACCAGUGGCGAAGGCGGCCUGCUGGACUGCAACUGACGUUGAGGCUCGAAGGCGUGGGGAGCAAACAGGAUUAGAUACCCGAGUAA
RNAcentral lists this ribosomal RNA (448 nucleotides) under uncultured bacterium. RNAcentral describes it as "bacterial SSU rRNA". It matches the Rfam family "Bacterial small subunit ribosomal RNA", at positions 329 to 793 of the family's 1533-position model. The record is from RNAcentral.